GACGAACGCUGGCGGCGUGCUUAACACAUGCAAGUCGAACGGAAAGGCCCUGCUUUUGUGGGGUGCUCGAGUGGCGAACGGGUGAGUAACACGUGAGUAACCUGCCCUUGACUUUGGGAUAACUUCAGGAAACUGGGGCUAAUACCGGAUAGGAGCUCCUGCUGCAUGGUGGGGGUUGGAAAGUUUCGGCGGUUGGGGAUGGACUCGCGGCUUAUCAGCUUGUUGGUGGGGUAGUGGCUUACCAAGGCUUUGACGGGUAGCCGGCCUGAGAGGGUGACCGGCGACAUUGGGACUGAGAUACGGCCCAGACUCCUACGGGAGGCAGCAGUGGGGAAUAUGGCACAAUGGGCGGAAGCCUGAUGAAGCAACGCCGCGUGCGGGAUGACGGCCUUCGGGUUGUAAACCGCUUUCGCAUGUGACGAAGCGUGAGUGACGGUAAUGGGUAAAGAAGCACCGGCUAACUACGUG
RNAcentral lists this ribosomal RNA (468 nucleotides) under uncultured bacterium. Its description in RNAcentral is "partial 16S ribosomal RNA". It matches the Rfam family "Bacterial small subunit ribosomal RNA", at positions 28 to 507 of the family's 1533-position model. The record is from RNAcentral.